UGCAACGGUCAUACCAUCCAGAACACACCGGAUCCCAUCAGAACUCCGAAGUUAAGCUGAGUUGGGCUGGACUAGUACUGUGUAGAGGGAUCACACGGGAAUCCCCAGUGCCGUUGUGU
This is a ribosomal RNA of Chlorella variabilis, 119 nucleotides long. The record is from Rfam. Lineage: Eukaryota; Viridiplantae; Chlorophyta; Trebouxiophyceae; Chlorellales; Chlorellaceae.